CCUACGGGGGGCUGCAGUGGGGAAUAUUGGACAAUGGGGGGAACCCUGAUCCAGCCAUGCGGCGUGUGUGAAGAAGGCCCUCGGGUUGUAAAGCACUUUCAGUGAGGAAGAACGCCUGGUGGUUAAUACCCAUCAGGAAAGACAUCACUCACAGAAGAAGCACCGGCUAACUCCGUGCCAGCAGCCGCGGUAAUACGGAGGGUGCGAGCGUUAAUCGGAAUUACUGGGCGUAAAGCGCGCGUAGGUGGCUUGAUAAGCCGGUUGUGAAAGCCCCGGGCUCAACCUGGGAACGGCAUCCGGAACUGUCAAGCUAGAGUGCAGGAGAGGAAGGUAGAAUUCCCGGUGUAGCGGUGAAAUGCGUAGAGAUCGGGAGGAAUACCAGUGGCGAAGGCGGCCUUCUGGACUGACACUGACACUGAGGUGCGAAAGCGUGGGUAGCAAACAGGAUUAGAUACCCCAGUAGUC
RNAcentral lists this ribosomal RNA (465 nucleotides) under Vreelandella stevensii. RNAcentral's name for it is "partial 16S ribosomal RNA". It matches the Rfam family "Bacterial small subunit ribosomal RNA", at positions 338 to 795 of the family's 1533-position model. The record is from RNAcentral. Lineage: Bacteria; Pseudomonadati; Pseudomonadota; Gammaproteobacteria; Oceanospirillales; Halomonadaceae.